Molecule: non-coding RNA, 70 nt
Organism: Podarcis lilfordi (Lilford's wall lizard)
Lineage: Eukaryota; Metazoa; Chordata; Lepidosauria; Squamata; Lacertidae
Source: the annotation of a GenBank genome assembly
GCUAGCUCAGUUGGUACAGCAUGAGACUCAAUCUCAGGGUUGUGAGUUUGAGCCCCACUCUGGAGGGACG